RNAcentral lists this ribosomal RNA (668 nucleotides) under Kokoona sp. Chase 2092. RNAcentral describes it as "eukaryotic LSU rRNA". The stretch from base 252 to 408 matches the Rfam family "5.8S ribosomal RNA". The record is from RNAcentral. Lineage: Eukaryota; Viridiplantae; Streptophyta; Magnoliopsida; Celastrales; Celastraceae.
GGAAGUAUCAUUGUCGAAACCUGCAAUGCAGAACGACCCGCGAAUACGUGAAAACUAACUCGGGGAGCAGGCCCUCGGGUCUGCUGCCCGAAGUCUCGGGCGAGGCCCGUGCGUUCGACGCACGAGCUGCGCUGCGGGCGAAAACAACAAUCCCCGGCGCGGAUUGCGCCAAGGAACCAGAAAAAGAUGCGUGCUCCCCCGGUCCCGAAACGGUGCUCGGAGGGAUGCGUGGUCGUUGUCAUAUUUGAAACGACUCUCGGCAACGGAUAUCUUGGCUCUCGCAUCGAUGAAGAACGUAGCGAAAUGCGAUACUUGGUGUGAAUUGCAGAAUCCCGCGAAUCAUCGAGUCUUUGAACGCAAGUUGCGCCCGAAAGCCGUCAGGCCUAGGGCACGCCUGCCUGGGUGUCACGAAACGUCGCCAAACAUCCCCUCGCCCAUCUCUGAUGGGAACGAAAGGGGCUGGCGGAGAUUGGCCUCCCGUGCGCUCCCGCUAGCGGUUGGCCCAAAUUACGGUCUCCUGGCUCGGCAGCCACGACACGCGGUGGUUUGAAGCGCAUGCAUCGAGCACCGUCGCGGGCAAGCCUUGUCCAAGGGGAGGCAGAGACCCCGACGCGAAGCGUCUCCACACAGCGACCCCAGGUCAGGCGGGAACACCCGCUGAGUUUAAG